Molecule: ribosomal RNA, 429 nt
Filed under: Gemmatimonadota bacterium
Lineage: Bacteria; Pseudomonadati; Gemmatimonadota
Description: Gemmatimonadetes bacterium partial 16S ribosomal RNA
Rfam family: Bacterial small subunit ribosomal RNA
Source: RNAcentral
UAGGGAAUCUUCGGCAAUGGACGAAAGUCUGACCGAGCAACGCCGCGUGAGUGAAGAAGGUUUUCGGAUCGUAAAACUCUGUUGUUAGAGAAGAACAAGGACGUUAGUAACUGAACGUCCCCUGACGGUAUCUAACCAGAAAGCCACGGCUAACUACGUGCCAGCAGCCGCGGUAAUACGUAGGUGGCAAGCGUUGUCCGGAUUUAUUGGGCGUAAAGCGAGCGCAGGCGGUUUCUUAAGUCUGAUGUGAAAGCCCCCGGCUCAACCGGGGAGGGUCAUUGGAAACUGGGAGACGUGAGUGCAGAAGAGGGGAGUGGAAUUCCAUGUGUAGCGGUGAAAUGCGUAGAUAUAUGGAGGAACACCAGUGGCGAAGGCGGCUCUCUGGUCUGUAACUGACACUGAGGCUCGAAAGCGUGGGGAGCAAACAGG